Non-coding RNA from Schizosaccharomyces pombe (fission yeast), 799 nucleotides. NCBI's taxonomy places the organism in Eukaryota, Fungi, Ascomycota, Schizosaccharomycetes, Schizosaccharomycetales, Schizosaccharomycetaceae. The record is from the annotation of a GenBank genome assembly.
CCAGUCACCAUGGGAUUAGACAAGACUCCGCUACGACCUCUUCUUGCAGAAGUAGCAGGCUGGGCAUAUACGGGUUGUGCGUAGGCAGGCUGGGCUGGGUAAUAAUUUGGUUGAUUGGGAUAAUAAUAUGGUUGUUGAGGAUAACCGCCCUGAGGGGGAUAAGGCUGUGGAGCGGCCCCGUAUGCUCUGUUUUGGGAAGCUGCGGGAGCAGGAGCAGGAGCAGCAGAAGAAGCAGAAGCGGCAGGAGUGGCAGGAGCGGCUGAGUUGGAAUAAGAAGGAGGCGGUCCACUUGGGGGAGCAGAGUGGUCCACCGAAGGAGGUGGUGGAAUAGUUAAACCACGGACCGGACAUUCCCAUUGCGGCUUUGCUUUGGGAUCACUUUCAUUAACAUAAAAGUAACACUUGUAGCGUUCAUCCCACUGAGCGACCCAGCCAUUAGGGAGACCUUCACGAGUUUGAUAAGCCAUAAUGGAAUUUAAGAAAUAUGUUGAGUAUAAAUUGAGAGAAAAGUUUGGAAUGAAGGGAAUAUCUUAAAAAAUAAUUUUUUUGGUAAAAAAGACAGUUAACAAAAAAUAAAUGAAUUCUAAUACUUCUAUCUGCUCUGUACGCAAGAAGUAAUGGUAACAACAAAUGGAAAGAGAAAGAAUACUUCUAGAUAGUUGGCCUUUUGCAAAUGAAAAAGCAAUUGAUCAAAUAAAUGAAAUUCCGCGUAUGAUGGUGAGAUAAUUAUAGUGGUUAAGAUCGAUAAGAAGGUUGGAGAAGUUUGAUGCUAGCAGCAGUCAUGGAGCUAUUCGUGGUG